Long non-coding RNA from Puma concolor (puma), 1014 nucleotides. RefSeq lists it as uncharacterized. Lineage: Eukaryota; Metazoa; Chordata; Mammalia; Carnivora; Felidae. The record is from RefSeq and is a predicted model, not a curated record.
GGGGCCCAACUCUGGUGUCCGUGAUGGUGCAGCAAGUGGACCCAAGGCUUCCUGAGAUGACCCAUCCAGUCUCAAGGUACUCUCAAGUUGGGAGAAGUGUGAAGGUUAAUACAGAGAAACCCCACAAAAAAAGGAUCGUGAAGCCAGAAGGGGGAGCUUGCUCGCUACACCUCUUGGUCAAGAAUCACCAAUCGCUGACCCCACAGAGGAAUCAUCAACAGUACAGGAUCCUCAAAUACAGGCCCCAACAGAGAAUGCUGGGAGGAGGCAAGAGCAGGUGGAAGAAGCCUUCGCUCACCCUGGAGAAUUCCUUUCAACAUUCCCGUCCUGAAAUGAGUCUGCUUUUUGGAGACCUGUGUAAACAGUGGUGGCAUCAUCCUACUUCCCUCAUUCACAAUGAGGAAAGGAGUGUGGGAUGGAAGUUGUGCAGACUGUGUCUCAGCUGGCUCCCCCCACCAGCAGGAAAUCCAAAACCGCAUGCGCGGCCUGUGACGUCGCUUGCUCCCCCCACCAGCAGGAAAUCCCAAGGACGCAUGUGCAGCCUGUGACUUCGCUUGUUCCCCCCAACCAGCAGGAAAUCCCAAAGACGCAUGCGCAGCCUGUGACGUCGCUUGCUCCCCCCACCAGCAGGAAAUCACAAAGAUGCAUGUGCAGUGUGUUGCAUCCCGGCCAGCCAGCUUUGCAGGCCUCACGGCAGUGCAUGCGUUGAACAGCUAACUGUGCUGGCCGAGUUCAGCUUCACUGUGACGAUGAGCUCAAGGAGGAAAACGGGGGAAUAUGGUGAGAAAACAUGACUCUUCUCCUGGUUCCUGAUUGUGGGUUUUCUCCCUGCCAAGAGCCCUCAUCAUGGAUUUCCCUUUUCUUGCAACAGCGCCCACACAUCUUGCUAGAAACGUAGCCCCCUGGUGCCCCUUGUUUCUGUUCGCAGGUAUCCCUGCAUUGCUCUGGUCCUGCCUUCAGCUUCGGGCUCAGUCGGUUGGGUUUGUGCUCUGAAUAUGAAGGGAAAACUGACCU